This 1339-nucleotide long non-coding RNA is filed under the name Felis catus (domestic cat). RNAcentral describes it as "lncRNA (ENSFCAG00000051703.1)". Lineage: Eukaryota; Metazoa; Chordata; Mammalia; Carnivora; Felidae. The record is from RNAcentral.
AUGUAUUUGUGGGCUUGGUGGCAGGUCCCUACGAGGGCAGGCGGGGGGGGAGGGGUGGCUUGCUUCCGGGCUGGCACCCCGGCCGGCAUCAGCCCUGCCCGCGCCAGGCCAGUUUGUUCUGAUUGUCUCCUCUUGGGGCAGGACAGACCCACGUCAGGGGAACACACAUCCACCUCUUUGCCUUUCCUCUCAUUCCUUCUCUUCUGUCAUUCUCAUCUGAGCAAAAGACACUCAAAACGUGCGUACUCCUCCAGGUUCAAGAUCUUGACUGUCUGUGGCUCCCGCAACGGUCCCAGACCCUUGGCAGUGCUUGCCCCCCACGCACUCACCCUCUCCUGACACGCCCUUCACCGACCGCAUGGUUCCAUGACAUCCAGUCUGCCCACCAUCACCCUCCAUCUCUCCCCGGGGAGUUCCCUUCUUCUGCUCAGAAAGUUCCAUAAACUAACAUGCGCUCACCAAAUCUUAACCUCCAAAGAAGAGAGAUUUUAUAGGAUGAUUAGUCAGAAAGAAGACAACUCUGGAUCUCAAAUUCAGAUUUUCAGCUGUGAGCAAAAUGCCCUCAUCUUUGAGAAGCUGAAUGCCGGCUCCUACAUAUACAUGAGACACUAAAUUGCUUUGCAAGACCCAAAACAGAACGGAUAUCCGAGGCACUCUUUUCAAGAACUCACUCGCCCCAGGAUAGGCACGGGCAGACUCCAGCCUCACCGGCCAAAUCCCACCAGCCGUUCUUGUGAGUGAGGUUUUGUGGGAACGCACAGCCACGCCCUUCGAGAACAAGUCUGCAGCUCUCUGCUCUAGAGAAACGGGAACAGCUGGAGACCCUGCUGGUCACUUCCCGUCAAAGCCAUCGGGUGCUGCCAGCCACGAAGAGUGGUUUGCUGCAGCUCCCACACCUGGACUGGAGUCCGCUUACAGAAAAUUCAUGGCAGAAAGCGUCUCAUUCUGUUCCGGAAGCCCCCGGAUCCGCACGCACGAGAGAAGACUGGACACUAACUUCUACUUGGGUCGGGCGCUCUCAACGUGGUCUGACCGACAGGUGUGUGGCUGAGAAGCAGGGCCACUCCGUGUUCACCGUGAGCACUCGGGACGCACAGGAACUUCUCGUGAAGACAGAAGCUACUUACUUACUCAGCCUACAGGCAUCCAGCUGCCAGGCUUUAGGUCCCUGACCAGACCCCCAGAGCCACAGCCAAGGCCCUUGUGCCCCAGCCAAGUUCAGGAGCAAUGUGACUCAAGUGAAUGACUUCUAACGACCUUCUUCCUUUUGAUGGAUCCAUCUUUUCAAACCCACCCACUCCCUGGAGCCGCACUCAGCCUGCCUUUCACUAAUCUUUCC